Molecule: non-coding RNA, 363 nt
Filed under: Trichomonas vaginalis G3
Lineage: Eukaryota; Parabasalia; Trichomonadida; Trichomonadidae
Description: Archaeal large subunit ribosomal RNA
Rfam family: Archaeal large subunit ribosomal RNA
Source: Rfam by way of RNAcentral
CAUCAAAAACCAAGUCUCUAAGCAAUGGAUGUCUUGGCUCCUCACACGAUGAAGAACGUGGCAUAAUGUGUUAAGUAACCGGAGUUGCAAACAUCAUGACAGGUUAAUCUUUGAAUGCAAAUUGCGCUAAACUCGAUCUCGGUCGAGAAGCAUGGGUGUGACAGUACUACAUCUUUUAUAAUAAUUCUUAUUCUAAGCGAAUAAGUAAAUAAUAUAUAAGACAAACAACACGUAGUCUGCCAUACGCAGGAAGACCCGCUGAACUGAAGCAUCUCAUUAAGCGGAGGAAAAGAAACUAACUAGGAUUCCCUUAGUAAAGGCGAUCGAAAAGGGAACAGCCCAACGUCUUAAUCCCGCAAGGGA